RNAcentral lists this transfer RNA (73 nucleotides) under Ailuropoda melanoleuca (giant panda). It matches the Rfam family "tRNA". Rfam says of the family: Transfer RNA (tRNA) molecules are approximately 80 nucleotides in length. The record is from Rfam by way of RNAcentral. Lineage: Eukaryota; Metazoa; Chordata; Mammalia; Carnivora; Ursidae.
ACCUGGCUGGCUCAGUCAGUAAAGCAUGUGACUCUUGAUCUCAGGGUUGUGAGUUUGAGCCCCAUGUUGGGUA